Molecule: ribosomal RNA, 253 nt
Filed under: uncultured bacterium
Lineage: Bacteria
Description: partial 16S ribosomal RNA
Rfam family: Bacterial small subunit ribosomal RNA
Source: RNAcentral
UACAGAGGGGGCAAGCGUUGUUCGGAAUUACUGGGCGUAAAGGGCGCGUAGGCGGCCUUCUAAGUCGAACGUGAAAUCCCCGGGCUUAACCCGGGAACUGCGUCCGAUACUGGAAGGCUUGAAUCCGGGAGAGGGAUGCGGAAUUCCAGGUGUAGCGGUGAAAUGCGUAGAUAUCUGGAGGAACACCGGUGGCGAAGGCGACAUCCUGGACCGGUAUUGACGCUGAGGCGCGAAAGCCAGGGGAGCAAACGGG